GGGGAUUUAGCUCAGUGGUAGAGCGCUUGCCUAGGAAGCGCAAGGCCCUGGAUUCAAUCCCCA
RNAcentral lists this transfer RNA (63 nucleotides) under Rattus norvegicus (Norway rat). It matches the Rfam family "tRNA". Rfam says of the family: Transfer RNA (tRNA) molecules are approximately 80 nucleotides in length. Their secondary structure includes four short double-helical elements and three loops (D, anti-codon, and T loops). Further hydrogen bonds mediate the characteristic L-shaped molecular structure. tRNAs have two regions of fundamental functional importance: the anti-codon, which is responsible for specific mRNA codon recognition, and the 3' end, to which the tRNAs corresponding amino acid is attached (by aminoacyl-tRNA synthetases). tRNAs cope with the degeneracy of the genetic code in two manners: having more than one tRNA (with a specific anti-codon) for a particular amino acid; and 'wobble' base-pairing, i.e. permitting non-standard base-pairing at the 3rd anti-codon position. The record is from Rfam by way of RNAcentral. Lineage: Eukaryota; Metazoa; Chordata; Mammalia; Rodentia; Muridae.